RNAcentral lists this ribosomal RNA (686 nucleotides) under Cryptosporidium andersoni. Its description in RNAcentral is "SSU rRNA". It matches the Rfam family "Eukaryotic small subunit ribosomal RNA", at positions 295 to 1012 of the family's 1831-position model. The record is from RNAcentral. Lineage: Eukaryota; Apicomplexa; Conoidasida; Eucoccidiorida; Cryptosporidiidae.
UCAUUCAAGUUUCUGACCUAUCAGCUUUAGACGGUAGGGUAUUGGCCUACCGUGGCUAUGACGGGUAACGGGGAAUUAGGGUUCGAUUCCGGAGAGGGAGCCUGAGAAACGGCUACCACAUCUAAGGAAGGCAGCAAACGCGCAAAUUACCCAAUCCUGACACAGGGAGGUAGGGACAAGAAAUAACAAUACAGGGCCUAACGGUCUUGUAAUUGGAAUGAGUGAAGUAUAAACCCCUUUACGAGUAUCAAUUGGAGGGCAAGUCUGGUGCCAGCAGCCGCGGUAAUUCCAGCUCCAAUAGCGUAUAUUAAAGUUGUUGCAGUUAAAAAGCUCGUAGUUGGAUUUCUGUUGUAUAAUUUUAUAAUAUUACAAAGGUAAUUAUUAUAUUAUCAACAUCCUUCCUAUUAUAUUCUAAAUAUAUAGGAAAUUUUACUUUGAGAAAAUUAGAGUGCUUAAAGCAGGCAACUGCCUUGAAUACUCCAGCAUGGAAUAAUAAGUAAGGACUUUUGUCUUUCUUAUUGGUUCUAGGACAAAAGUAAUGGUUAAUAGGGACAGUUGGGGGCAUUCGUAUUUAACAGCCAGAGGUGAAAUUCUUAGAUUUGUUAAAGACGAACUACUGCGAAAGCAUUUGCCAAGGAUGUUUUCAUUAAUCAAGAACGAAAGUUAGGGGAUCGAAGACGAUCAGA